UUCUAGGUCCAAAAUGCUAUAUUUUCCAAGUACAUAUCUGAUUGCUGUAUGUGGAAAAUGACUUGCUGAGUGAUUCUGGAU
Molecule: small nucleolar RNA, 81 nt
Filed under: Nestor notabilis (Kea)
Lineage: Eukaryota; Metazoa; Chordata; Aves; Psittaciformes; Psittacidae
Description: Small nucleolar RNA SNORD121A
Rfam family: Small nucleolar RNA SNORD121A
Source: Rfam by way of RNAcentral